UUUUUUCUUUUCCUAUUGGAGGUUUGACACCUAUAUUUUUCUCUGACAUUUUGGAAAUUUGCUUCCCAAAGUCAAAAACAUAAUGCCUAACUUUUCCCGAUUUGGCCAACAUCAACUUUAAGAUUCUGUGGUUAUCUUUUUACCAAGAGAUUUGUCAGUUUUACUGCCCCAGUCAUUUCCUUUUUACUGAUUAGAAUUAGGCCUUUGUGUAGCUGUUCACCUAAUUACUUCCUCUACCUUGUGAAAAAGAGCAGGGACGCUAACAUUUGCUGGGUACCUACUACAUGCCAAAAGUACUUAAUCGUAUGCAGUAAUGUCAUUUAAUUUUCAAAACAACUCUCCAAAGGAAGUGUCACUCUCCUUGUUUGAUUUCUUGCUUCCCAAAUGGAAGGUCCUUUGUAUUAAUAGUAUCUGUCAAAUUUCAUACAAUACUUAAAUAUGUUCUUGAUACGUACUUCAAUAUAACCAACAGAAUGAGGCAGUAUUCGAUAAAGUAAAAAAUAAGAUGAAUAUUUCUAGUGAUUUAUAAGUUACUUGAGGAAAUCAUGCUGUUUAUUCUUUUCCUUUUUAGGUAUUCUUUGUGAAUUUGCUAUUUGUGUGUGAAUAUAUCUGUUGCGAUAAUGAAUAACCAUAUGAAAUGGAUAAUUGUAUGAAAAUUCAUUUGUAAUUCAAUAGAUUGCCAGGGAUUUUAGGUUGGUUAUGAAGGUUUGUUUUUUUUUUUUUUUUCUUUUGGAGAGUGGGGAGAUUGGCAUACAGUUUCAAAUUGUUUAUGUGGAAGUUGGAAGUGUGACUAAGCUCGAAGAAAGGAAGAGAGGGACAAAGAAAGGGAGGAGGUACCCCUAAGUGGGAACCUACCAGGACAUUCAAAGCAAGAGCAGUAAGUUCUGAAUGUUCUGGGACAACCUGGGUGAUAUGCAUGGAUAUGGGCUGUGGAGGCUGAGCAUUUUAAUGAUAACUUAGGGAAACGAGGCAUGGCCAUGGUGUAAAACUCUCAAAUCCCAAGCCCUAAUCCAACCUUAAAAUCCGAGUCUUCUAAAGGGCUGUUUUAACCAUGAAAGGACCAUAAGAAAGGCAAUUCACAGAAAAUGAAGCCAUGUGGCCAAGAAAUAUAAGAAAAACAGUAAAAGCCCUUAAUCUCAAUAGCAAUAGAGUGGAUGCAAAUGAAUAUAAUGAGUUGCCAUGUCGUUCUUACUGGAUUGGAAAAGAAAUUAGAAUGUCUAAAUAACAUGUAUCAUCCAGGAUGUGGGGAAAUGGGAGCUCUUGUACCCUGCAGGCAGGCAUUUAAAUUGGUGCAACCGCUUUGGAUUGCUGCUUUGUAGUAUCUGGUGCAACUGAAGAUGAACAUGCCCUGUGACACAGCAACCGCACUUCUAGGUCAAUACCCUAAUUAUAUUCUUACUGUGGUUCACAAGAAGGUAUGUAAGAGGUCAUUGCCUGAGCACUGUUUAGAAUAGGGGCAAACUGGAAAUCCUCUAAAUGUCUGUCAAUGAAGGAAUAGAUAAAUUGUAAUAUGUUCAUAUAAAAUGCUGCAUAAAUAAGUGAAAUUUAUAAAUAUACUAACGAAUGAAUCUUGAAAACAGAGUUGGGAGAUAAAAGCAAGCUGUUGAAGAACAUGGUCAGUAUCCUCUCACUUAUGUAAGUUAAAAACUCCAAAGAACAUUAUCUAUAUUGGUAAUGGCAUAGACAUGUGUGGUAAAAUAUAAAAAUAUUAACUAAAAGUUCUAUACGCUUCAGGAUAUUGUAUUUUUGCUUAUAUGUAUACCAAUGUCUUCAUGCUUGGCAGUAGGAGAAGAGAAGGGAAGUUGGGGCGGAAAAGAGUAGUGAUAAGAGAAGAUAUAAAGCUAUUUUUAGUUUUAAAUUAAAUCCACAAAGACUAAAUUUGAUGAAGGUGAUGGGGUGUUUGGAAACAUCCAAGACAUAAUGGUUUUUCAGAGGAUGGUUUUCAUAUUCUUUAUAUUCAAGUUUACUUUUUCCUAAUAAUAAAAAACAUAAAGGAGUCAAAUAUUUUUAGAUGCCUGUGGAUUUUGAGAAUCUUACCUCACUCCAGGUUUAUUUCUGAGCUCUAUUAUUCUUUUCAUGUAUAUGAGGCAAAUACAAUUAAAAUUUAAACAUAAAAUACAGUGUUGCUGCUUUUGCUGUAACACAUAAAGUAAGCAUAAAUGAGUCUCAGUUACACAAACAUAAAAAUAAUCAUCCAUCCAGGAAAGUAAUUUAAAACAAAUUAUAGUCAGGGAACUGAAACUGAUACUUUUAACUGUUGAUAUAAAAUGUGAAUUAGAUUGUAAAAACUCAAGAAAAUAAUUAUUAUAAACUAGGUAUAUAUGUGUGUAUCUGGAAUGAAAAUUUGUAGAAAUAGAUAAAAAGCCACAAAAUCCUUUUAGUCUUAGAAAUAAUAAUCUUAAAAUGCUUUUAGUAAAUUACAAAGCUUUUGUUGUCAAAAAGUACUACAGUCUGAUUAGGAAUUACAUUUUCUGUGAUCUAUGCCAUAGACCUCUCCACAUGUGCUAACUUUUCCUGAAAUGUAAAUGAGCAAUGUUUAUGAAAAUAGCUUAUUUUAUUAAUAUUUGAAGUUGAGACUCUCCUCCUGUUUAUCCCAUCAUAUACUCACUGUAUUGUACUUCUUUGUUCCUAGGUUCCCUGAGAGUAUGCAUUGUGUUUGGAAGCUAGGCCUUAGAUGAGAAGAUGGUCCUGGAGGUUGCUACUGGAGAGGAGAUUGGAGCGUGGUUAGAGAUGAAGGGUCAGAGUCCCCAGAGUCUGUGGCAUGCAAAUACUGUUGAAACAAACAGUGGAUCCACUGGACCAGUGCAUGUCUUGUGCCUUUGCACACUUUUUUACAUGCACGUAACCAAGGAUGGCUUCAAGAUCAUGGCCCAAUUAUUAAUCGAGAAAAAGGGAUACAUAAAGUAAGAGCAUGAUGGUGCUUAUCCUAGUGGAGACUUCUCCCUUGGUUGCCAUAGUCAUUGACUAAGCACUUCGUGGGAAUAAAUGUUCCAAUAGCAGAGACUUCCACCAUUAGCAGAACCAUCAGCUCAUAUUUAUUUCACUGCAUAUUUCACUCGAUUACUUGAAAAGACAUAUUUUUAGAGAUAAACUACACUGGGACAGAUAUCAUAACACCGUAGUUUUUUUUGCUAAUUCACAUAUAUUAUUUCUGG
Molecule: long non-coding RNA, 3155 nt
Filed under: Homo sapiens (human)
Lineage: Eukaryota; Metazoa; Chordata; Mammalia; Primates; Hominidae
Description: non-protein coding lnc-MRPS30-8:2
Source: RNAcentral